Molecule: ribosomal RNA, 301 nt
Filed under: uncultured bacterium
Lineage: Bacteria
Description: partial 16S ribosomal RNA
Rfam family: Bacterial small subunit ribosomal RNA
Source: RNAcentral
CAGCCGCCACGGUAAUACGGAGGGUGCAAGCGUUAAUCGGAAUUACUGGGCGUAAAGCGCACGCAGGCGGUCUGUCAAGUCGGAUGUGAAAUCCCCGGGCUCAACCUGGGAACUGCAUUCGAAACUGGCAGGCUAGAGUCUUGUAGAGGGGGGUAGAAUUCCAGGUGUAGCGGUGAAAUGCGUAGAGAUCUGGAGGAAUACCGAUGGCGAAGGCAGCCAUCUGGCCUAAUACUGACGCUGAGGUACGAAAGCAUGGGGAGCAAACAGGAUUAGAUACCCUCGUAGUCCCUGUCUCUUAUAC